AGGUCACUGCUAUUGGGAUUCGGCUAAGCCAUGCAAGCGGAGGGCGCGGUCGAAAGAUCGUGGCCCCGCACACUGCUCAGUAACACGUAGUCAACCUACCCUUGGGACGGGGACAACCUCGGGAAACUGAGGCUAAUCCCCGAUAGGUGAGGGACGCUGGAAUGCCUCCUCGCCCAAAGCUCCGGCGCCCAAGGAUGGGACUGCGGUCUAUCAGGCUGUUGGUGGUGUAACGGACCACCAAACCUACGACGGGUACGGGCGAUGGGAGUCGGAGCCCGGAGAUGGGGACUGAGACAAGGCCCCAGGCCCUACGGGGCGCAGCAGGCGCGAAAACUCCGCAAUGCGCGCAAGCGUGACGGGGGAAUCCCAAGUGCCGUUGGUCUUAUGAUCGACGGUUUUUAGGAAGUCUAAGAAGCUUCCAGAAUAAGGGCUGGGCAAGACUGGUGCCAGCCGCCGCGGUAACACCAGCAGCCCAAGUGGUGACCACGAUUAUUGGGCCUAAAGCGCUCGUAGCCGGAUCAGCAAGUCCCUUGUGAAAUCGGGCCGCCUAACGGUUCGGCGUGCAAGGGAUACUGUUGGUCUUGAGGCCGGGAGAGGUCGGAGGUACUCCUGGGGUAGCGGUGAAAUGCUCUAAUCCUAGGGGGACCACCAGUGGCGAAGGCGUCCGACCAGAACGGACCUGACGGUGAGGGGCGAAGGCUAGGGGAGCGAACGGGAUUAGAUACCCCGGUAGUCCUAGCUGUAAAGCAUGCGGGCCAGGUGUCUAGCGCUCCUUGAGGGCGCUAGGUGCCGGAGGGAAGCCGUUAAGCCCGCCGCCUGGGAAGUACGGCCGCAAGGCUGAAACUUAAAGAAAUUGGCGGGGGAGCACCACAAGAGGUGGGACCUGCGGUUCAAUUGGAUUCAACGCCGGAAAACUCACCAGGGGCGACAGCUGGUUGACGGCCAGAUUGACGAUCUUGCCCGACUAGCUGAGAGGUGGUGCAUGGCCAUCGUCAGCUCGUACCGUGAGGCGUCCUGUUA
RNAcentral lists this ribosomal RNA (1020 nucleotides) under uncultured archaeon. RNAcentral's name for it is "bacterial SSU rRNA". It matches the Rfam family "Archaeal small subunit ribosomal RNA", at positions 21 to 1031 of the family's 1478-position model. The record is from RNAcentral.